AUUGAACGCUGGCGGCAUGCCUUACACAUGCAAGUCGAACGGUAACAGGUUAAGCUGACGAGUGGCGAACGGGUGAGUAAUGUAUCGGAACGUGCCCAGUCGUGGGGGAUAACUGCUCGAAAGAGCAGCUAAUACCGCAUACGACCUGAGGGUGAAAGCGGGGGAUCGCAAGACCUCGCGCGAUUGGAGCGGCCGAUAUCAGAUUAGGUAGUUGGUGAGGUAAAGGCUCACCAAGCCGACGAUCUGUAGCUGGUCUGAGAGGACGACCAGCCACACUGGGACUGAGACACGGCCCAGACUCCUACGGGAGGCAGCAGUGGGGAAUUUUGGACAAUGGGCGCAAGCCUGAUCCAGCCAUGCCGCGUGCGGGAAGAAGGCCUUCGGGUUGUAAACCGCUUUUGUCAGGGAAGAAAAGGUUCUGGCUAAUACCUGGGACUCAUGACGGUGCCUGAAGAAUAAGCACCGGCUAACUACGUG
This 477-nucleotide ribosomal RNA is filed under the name uncultured bacterium. RNAcentral describes it as "partial 16S ribosomal RNA". It matches the Rfam family "Bacterial small subunit ribosomal RNA", at positions 30 to 507 of the family's 1533-position model. The record is from RNAcentral.